Long non-coding RNA from Dreissena polymorpha, 253 nucleotides. RefSeq lists it as uncharacterized. The transcript is spliced from 3 exons. The record is from RefSeq and is a predicted model, not a curated record. Lineage: Eukaryota; Metazoa; Mollusca; Bivalvia; Myida; Dreissenidae.
CAACGUGGUAGAGAUUGUGAUUGGUGGAUAUGUGAAUAGUAAAUCUGUCAUCAGAAACCAAAUGCAAGGGAACAAUUUGGCCGAAUACUUGGGCUAUAUACUCACCGCCUACUCCUUCCAAUGGUUUUGGAUCUCUUGGAACGGCGGUUGUGUAAGGGUCGGCAAGGGCUCCAUUGUAGGCAACUCUCAGAUAAUGCAGUGGUGCGGCCCAUACUACAGCAUUAACGGCAUCCGAUUCAGCUAUGGCUUUGAC